Molecule: transfer RNA, 86 nt
Filed under: Eubacterium brachy ATCC 33089
Lineage: Bacteria; Bacillati; Bacillota; Clostridia; Peptostreptococcales; Anaerovoracaceae
Rfam family: tRNA
About the family: Transfer RNA (tRNA) molecules are approximately 80 nucleotides in length. Their secondary structure includes four short double-helical elements and three loops (D, anti-codon, and T loops).
Source: Rfam by way of RNAcentral
GCCGGAGUGGCGGAAUUGGCAGACGCCCAGGACUUAAAAUCCUGUGCUCUUAAUUGGGCGUACCGGUUCGACCCCGGUCUCCGGCA